AACGAACGCUGGCGGUAUGCUUAACACAUGCAAGUCGAACGAAUGCCUUUGGAGCUUGCUUCAAAGUCGUUAGUGGCAAACGGGUGAGUAACACGUGGGAAUCUACCUAUCAGUACGGAAUAACAUUUGGAAACAGAUGCUAAUACCGUAUAUUCUCUUCGGAGGAAAGAUUUAUCGCUGAUAGAUGAGCCCGCGUAAGAUUAGGUAGUUGGUGGGGUAAUGGCCUACCAAGCCGACGAUCUUUAGCUGAUCUGAGAGGAUGAUCAGCCACACUGGGACUGAGACACGGCCCAGACUCCUACGGGAGGCAGCAGUGGGGAAUAUUGGACAAUGGGCGAAAGCCUGAUCCAGCAAUACCGCGUGAAUGAUGAAGGCCUUAGGGUUGUAAAGUUCUUUUAGUAGGGAAGAUAAUGACGGUACCUACAGAAAAGACCCCGGCUAACUCCGUG
RNAcentral lists this ribosomal RNA (449 nucleotides) under uncultured bacterium. Its description in RNAcentral is "bacterial SSU rRNA". It matches the Rfam family "Bacterial small subunit ribosomal RNA", at positions 29 to 507 of the family's 1533-position model. The record is from RNAcentral.